GUGCUCACAUCAGCAACAUGUAUACUAAAGUUGGAAAGAUACCGAGAUUAGCAUGGCAAGGGUGACAUGCAAAUUCAUCAAGCAUUCCUUUUUUUC
Molecule: small nuclear RNA, 96 nt
Organism: Gorilla gorilla gorilla (western lowland gorilla)
Lineage: Eukaryota; Metazoa; Chordata; Mammalia; Primates; Hominidae
Source: Ensembl